RNAcentral lists this long non-coding RNA (3262 nucleotides) under Homo sapiens (human). RNAcentral's name for it is "non-protein coding lnc-MRPS22-1:13". The record is from RNAcentral. Lineage: Eukaryota; Metazoa; Chordata; Mammalia; Primates; Hominidae.
GUUGAAUUGUUUUCCUCCACAAAAUUCAUAUUUCAAUUCCUAACCCCCAGUACCUCAGAAUGUGAGCUUCGUCAGAAAUAGACUCAUUGCAGUUGUUAUUAGUUAAGAUGAGGUCAUAAUGAGGUAGCGUGGACCCCUAAUCUACUGUGACUGGUGUCAUUAUACAGAGGGCAAAUUCAGAGACUCAUUCAGGGAGAACAGGGAAUAUGAAGGCAGAGUUUGGGGUGAUACAGCAGAAGCCAAGGAAUGACAAAUCCUGGAAAGCAGCAUGGAACAGGUUUUCCCUCACAGCGCUUAGAAGGAACCAAUCCUGCCAACAACUUGAUCUUGGACUUCUAUCUUCUAGAACUGUGAGACCAUACAGUUCUAUUGUUUAAGCCACCCACUUUGUGGUACUUUGUUAUGACAACCCUAGCAAAUUAAUACUAGAGGGAGGACUAGAUGUUGGGGAAUCCAUCACCAUGACCACUGUGCCUACCAUUAGGUAGUGAAUGUUAAAUUAAUAUCUCUACUACAGUGUAUGUCUAAAAUGUGAGAAAAGCAGCAGCAUGAAAUAAAAGGUGCCCAGGCUUUGGAAUCCAGAGAUCUGGGUUUAAGCUAUGCCCCUGACUAGCUAUGUGACUUUGAACCCUUUAACUGUGAAGUCCACCACUGAGAUAUGAGAUGGGAUAUCCAUGAUCAAUUAUUAGCAUAAAAGAUUUCAAAGACAUUUCCCUCCCUCAGUCCACCAAUGAGAAUACCCACCAAUUUUCCACCUGCUUCAAUUCUAUCCCUACCUCAAUUCCUCUCUACCCCACCCCACACCAGGCAAGUUUGAAGUUGUUUCUGAAGAACUAAUUGAGUAGAGAAGGACAAGAAAGUAGAAAAGAAAGAAGAAAGAGAGGAAGAACUUAGACUUUAGGGAAGGAAGUCAGUCUGUAGAAUAAAGAUUUAAGAGAAGGAAGGGAGGAGAUGAGGGGAGAAAAUGUUGAGAUGGCUGGGAGUAGAGAGAAUUUUGAGGGCCUUUAGCCAGUGAAGGGCAUCAGUGAGAGUGGAGUAUACGAGAUUUAGGUAGAAGAGAAAAUAGAUUUUCAAGGAGAUUUGUUAGGGGUUAUGGAUUAGAUCUCCCUAUUACAUUUUCAAAAAUAGAGCAUGUUACAAAUAGAAUAUCAUUCCUCUGUGGCUAGUGGAUUACAGGGAACUCUUUUAUUUUAAUGAGAAACACAUAAACCAUUGACUUUGGGUCUUCCAAUUUCUCCAGUUAAUUUGCAGGUUCUCCCUCUGCCUGCCACCCCACCCAGCAAGGAGGAGAGGAAGUGUUGAGAAGGGAAGAGAUGAGUCCUGGCCCUGUCACUUCUUAGGGGUGUGCUUUUGAACAACCUGCUCACCAUGUAUGAACUUCACUCUUCUUGUUUAUAAAAUGAGGACAAUGACACCUGCAAGACUGUGAGGUUUAAAAACAAAAUCUGUGUUGAGAGGUAACUUGCCUCUUUUACUUACCAAUGAUUUCCUCAAUGCCUGGUGACUGGGGCUGGUUCAUACUAGACGAUCAAUAAAUGCUCCUUGAAUGAAUAGGUGGAUGAAAGAAAUGUCUGGCAUCUAUCACAGGUGCUGGCACUGAUAAGUGCUUGAUAAAUAGGCUGGCUGACUGUGAGUGAUGCUGACGGGCAAAGGACAGAGACACCAGGAAGGAGAACAGGACACGAAAGAUAACUGUCUCAGCCCUUGGGGAGUUUCUGACCCAGGAGGAUGGGAACAUCAAUUAUCAAUAGUUACAGAUCAUUAAAUAAUUGCAAGUGUGAGGCGCACUAUAAAGAGGAGGCUCAGAGUCCCCGCAUGCUCACACUCACACCUGGCCACAGACAGGUGACACCCCUGGCUUGCCCAGGCCAGCGGGUCUGCAAUGAGGCCAAGGACCUGGGCUCUUGAGAAGUUUUAAGUUUGAAAACAUUGCUUUUUAAGCUUAAAACAAUGAACCUUAAUAAAAGUAAACACUUCCAUUGAGCUUUGAAACACUUAAUAGGAGUUAAAAGUAAUUAGGCUAAUAAAAUAGUCUUUUGUUCCAAUUCAAUAAGUGCUUUCUUUUAUUAACUUCAUUGUCCUUUAAGAUUGGGAUUAAGGUUUGUCUGCAUUUGGAAAAGGUCACAUUUGCCCAAAGACUGAUGGGUGAUAACAGUAAGGCAGCCCCCUGCACAGGGAGAGGCCAGUAAGAGCCUGGGCUCCAUGAAACUGCAUUUCAACUCCAACCCUGAUGUCCUGCCUGUCUCCUGGGCAUGUUUAUCUUACACUGCUAAGCAUCAGUCUCAUUUGUACAGUGAGAAUAAUAUCACUGUGUAAGGUUGUAUUGAGAAUUAAGAGAGCUCACGUAUGCCUGUAAAGUACCUGGCAUACCGCAGGGUACAAGGAGGGCGUUGUUAGCUGUGAUGGCCCCUUUCCUUCUUCCCUUUACUUCAGAGGUGACCUCUCCAAAUCACAUUUAGUCCUUAAACCUCAGGUCAGGCGAUAGUGCUGAUGGGCAACCCUCCCACCCAGGUUUGGCUGCAAGUCACUCCUCUGGGCUCCUCUGGGCUCCUACAGCCUCCCGCAUGGUCCCUCUCAUGCAUCCUUGUGAUGGUCUGACCAGGAGCUUCUUGAGGACAGGGGUUGGGGCCACUUGCCUGCGUGCUUCUCCAUGCCCAUUUGCUAUCAGAUGCCUUCCCCUUUCUGCUCUGCACUGCGGGGAACUACAUUUUCCAGGCUCCCUGGGCAGUGGCAGGCUUCCGGCUAGUUUCUACCAAGGGGAGCGCUGAUGGGAGAUGAAAAAGUGGGAAAAAAGGAGAAGCCAGGAUGCUUCUCUGUCUCGUCUUCCUUUUUCUCUUUCAGGGGUUUUUGGUAGUGGCUGUGUCUCCCUGAUAGCUCCUCUCUAUGAUCCAGCCCUGCUUGGCAGCCCUGGCUUCUGGGUUCUGAAAACACCACGUUCCUCCUUGUGUCCCUCUAUCUAGUAAUUGGCAGCUUUCUGAUGUUGCUAAGUUCUGACUUGCUUCACCAUCUCCUAUUUGGCUCCUCAGCUUUUCCAUCUUCUGUGUAACCUGUUCCCCGUACUAAAUUUCCUCUGUGUGAAAUGCCUAGCAUGGUUUCUGUUUCCGUGGUGGGACUCAGACGGAUACAUUCUGUGUCCCUAAGCCUCUGACACAGCACCUGACCCAUGAUAGGAUCUCAGGAAGCUCUUUUUUGGCUGAGUACAUUUCCCAUUGUAAUAUUCCCCAAAGGUGGGAUUUUGUUCAUCUUUUUACAGGCUUUCCUC